This 460-nucleotide ribosomal RNA is filed under the name uncultured bacterium. Its description in RNAcentral is "partial 16S ribosomal RNA". It matches the Rfam family "Bacterial small subunit ribosomal RNA", at positions 338 to 795 of the family's 1533-position model. The record is from RNAcentral.
CCUACGGGAGGCAGCAGUGAGGAAUAUUGGUCAAUGGACGAGAGUCUGAACCCGCCAAGUAGCGUGAAGGAUGACUGCCCUAUGGGUUGUAAACUUCUUUUAUAUGGGAAUAAAAUGUUCCACGUGUGGGAUUUUGUAUGUACCAUAUGAAUAAGGAUCGGCUAACUCCGUGCCAGCAGCCGCGGUAAUACGGAGGAUCCGAGCGUUAUCCGGAUUUAUUGGGUUUAAAGGGAGCGUAGGUGGAUUGUUAAGUCAGUUGUGAAAGUUUGCGGCUCAACCGUAAAAUUGCAGUUGAAACUGGCAGUCUUGAGUACAGUAGAGGUGGGCGGAAUUCGUGGUGUAGCGGUGAAAUGCUUAGAUAGCACGAAGAACUCCGAUUGCGAAGGCAGUUCACUGGACUGCAACUGACACUGAGGCUCGAAAGUGUGGGUAUCAAACAGGAUUAGAUACCCGUGUAGUC